This 293-nucleotide long non-coding RNA is filed under the name Elaeis guineensis (African oil palm). RNAcentral describes it as "long non-coding RNA (EGUI_LNC055406)". The record is from RNAcentral. Lineage: Eukaryota; Viridiplantae; Streptophyta; Magnoliopsida; Arecales; Arecaceae.
UGCCUAGCUGGUUCGGAUUCGGUCCAAGUCUCUACAGAAGAAGAACAAGCAACAUCAAUAGGUUCGAAACAAAAGAAAUCGCAGAAAUUUCAUAUUGCCUACAAGUGUGGGCUGCAGGUUGGUCAAUCGUACAGUUGAGUGAAAACUCGAGACCAAGACACUAUGUAUCAUAUCAGUAUAAUUGUAGAAGAAAUGCAGAGAAGGCGUACGUCCUCAUCCUUCCCCUAACCCUAAUCCUCACCAAAACCCUAGGAUUUCGUAACAGGACCUUGGUCACCCGUAUCCCGCGCCAG